GGAGGGAUGGCAGAGUGGUCGAUUGCGGCAGUCUUGAAAACUGUUGUACCGAGAGGUACCGGGGGUUCGAAUCCCUCUCCCUCCG
RNAcentral lists this transfer RNA (85 nucleotides) under Prevotellaceae bacterium. RNAcentral describes it as "tRNA-Ser". It matches the Rfam family "tRNA". From Rfam's summary of the family: Transfer RNA (tRNA) molecules are approximately 80 nucleotides in length. Their secondary structure includes four short double-helical elements and three loops (D, anti-codon, and T loops). Further hydrogen bonds mediate the characteristic L-shaped molecular structure. tRNAs have two regions of fundamental functional importance: the anti-codon, which is responsible for specific mRNA codon recognition, and the 3' end, to which the tRNAs corresponding amino acid is attached (by aminoacyl-tRNA synthetases). tRNAs cope with the degeneracy of the genetic code in two manners: having more than one tRNA (with a specific anti-codon) for a particular amino acid; and 'wobble' base-pairing, i.e. permitting non-standard base-pairing at the 3rd anti-codon position. The record is from RNAcentral. Lineage: Bacteria; Pseudomonadati; Bacteroidota; Bacteroidia; Bacteroidales; Prevotellaceae.